UACGGGGGGGGCAAGCGUUGUUCGGAAUUACUGGGCGUAAAGGGCGCGUAGGCGGCCUUCUAAGUCGGACGUGAAAUCCCUCGGCUUAACCGAGGAACUGCGUCCGAUACUGAAAGGCUUGAAUCCGGGAGAGGGAUGUGGAAUUCCAGGUGUAGCGGUGAAAUGCGUAGAUAUCUGGAGGAGCACCGGUGGCGAAGGCGGCAUCCUGGACCGGUAUUGACGCUGAGGCGCGAAAGCUAGGGGAGCAAACGGG
Molecule: ribosomal RNA, 253 nt
Filed under: uncultured bacterium
Lineage: Bacteria
Description: partial 16S ribosomal RNA
Rfam family: Bacterial small subunit ribosomal RNA
Source: RNAcentral